This 446-nucleotide ribosomal RNA is filed under the name uncultured bacterium. Its description in RNAcentral is "partial 16S ribosomal RNA". It matches the Rfam family "Bacterial small subunit ribosomal RNA", at positions 338 to 795 of the family's 1533-position model. The record is from RNAcentral.
CCUACGGGUGGCAGCAGUCGAGAAUCAUUCACAAUGGGGGAAACCCUGAUGGUGCGACGCCGCGUGGGGGAAUGAAGGUCUUCGGAUUGUAAACCCCUGUCAUGUGGGAGCAAAUUAAAAAGAUAGUACCACAAGAGGAAGAGACGGCUAACUCUGUGCCAGCAGCCGCGGUAAUACAGAGGUCUCAAGCGUUGUUCGGAAUCACUGGGCGUAAAGUGUGCGUAGGCUGUUUCGUAAGUCGUGUGUGAAAGGCGCGGGCUCAACCCGCGGACGGCACAUGAUACUGCGAGACUAGAGUAAUGGAGGGGGAACCGGAAGUCUCGGUGUAGCAGUGAAAUGCGUAGAUAUCGAGAGGAACACUCGUGGCGAAGGCGGGUUCCUGGACAUUAACUGACGCUGAGGCACGAAGGCCAGGGGAGCGAAAGGGAUUAGAUACCCCUGUAGUC